This 1586-nucleotide long non-coding RNA is filed under the name Mytilus galloprovincialis (Mediterranean mussel). Lineage: Eukaryota; Metazoa; Mollusca; Bivalvia; Mytilida; Mytilidae. The record is from RNAcentral.
CCUAGGUAUACAAUAGGCAAAAGCAAGGGAUGUUUAAUUUGAAUUUCUAACUUAACAAUUGUUAUUAACAAACAAGGCUAUAAGCAAAUAUAAUUCUUCUUGAAAACAGUAAAAAACAAUAAAAUCUCACAUUUUUGUGAUUGUUACAUGUACAAUGUAUAACAAUAUUAGCACACACCUGUACUGUGAGGGUACCCAGUUUGCACCUAUUUUUAUGCCCCACCUACGAUAGUAGAGGGGCAUUAUGUUUUCUGGUCUGUGCGUCCGUUCGUCCGUCCGUCUGUCCGGCUCCAGGUUAAAGUUUUUGGUCAAGGUAGUUUUUGAUGAAGUUGAAGUCCAAUCGACUUCAAACUUUGUACACAUGUUCCCUAUGAUAUGAUCUUUCUAAUUUUAAUGCCAAAUUAGAGUUUUUACCCCAAUUUCACGGUCCACUGAACUUGGAAAAUGAUAGUGCGAAUGGGGCAUUCGUGUACUGAGGACACAUUCUUGUUGUACCAAAAUUGCCCUCAACAGCCAUAUGUCACACUGAACAACAUUCUGAUUUAUACAAACAUGUAAAAUGGUUUAAAAGAUACUUCAAACUAAUUUCAUUAAAAUUUGAGAUAGUAUUAAUAACCUUCAGGUUAUGAUCCUCCAAGUUAAACACAUCUGUUGGUAAAAUUGCAGAAGUGCCCAUGCAUAGGCAGCUUGUGAUAUUUAUGAAUUGGUUAAACAAGAAAAUAAUUUCUCCCAUCAAGUUUAUAAAGACUAUAAAGGCUGUUGAUAAUGUAUGAAUAGAUUUUCCAAAAUUUCCGUCUACAUAUUAUUUCUGUAACCUUGAUCCAAGACUCUAUAACCUAGGAUUUGUCCAACAGACAUUUUCCAGAUAAUUUUAUCGAAAGUCGAAAUUACAGUUCAUUAGACAACAUUCGAACAAAAAAAUGUCUUUCCCAUCUUAGUCUUUAACGAUAUUGCUACGAGAUGGGCCUUUGACAAAAAAAAGAUAAUUGAUGUUUCGUGAUUUUAUGGGGCAUUAUCAAAGUAAAGUUCGAAUAUAUAGUUAAAAAUGUAACGCAUAGAAACCAUCUUCACAAUAUCUGCUGUGAAAUUGUUCAAUCAUGUUCUUGGACCUACUGAUCCCCUAAAUAUAUAAGGAACUCCGUCAUCCCAUGCGUCAUUAUCCCAACAAAUUUGGUUAAAUUUGAAAGAAAAAUAUGAAGAAAAAUAUGGACAUUCCAAGGUAAAUUUAAAAAGGAAAGUCCAUAAAAAAACCUGAAAAAAAAAUCAAAUAUAGGACUGUCAAACAACGGAAAGAAUGGAAAACAUAUUUCUGACUUGGUACAGGCGUUUCCCGACGGAAAUAGUUGGUUUAACCAGGUUUUGUAGCUAGACAAACCUCUCACAUGUAUGAACAUUAUUUAUAGUUCCGUUAUAUAAACAAAAUUAAUGAAUAUGACAAUAAUUGGGAUCUAGCAGCAAAAACAUACACCACAGCCAUCAACACUACUGAAUAAAGAAUACAAAUAACAUACAAAUAAAUUUAAAAAAGAAGCCAACAAAAAUGUUGUUGUGGUUAAUAAAUGUGACAAAAAGCCAACACAAAAAAA